CUGAAGUGUUGAACAGUUUCUCCUUGCUAUGAGAAUUAUCUCUAUUUCCUUCAUAGAAAUUCCAGUAUCUGACUACACGUGAGAACAGAAAAGAUUUUCCCUGAAGACUGACACUUGGAUAUUGCUUGGUGUGAAUGCUGAGUUACUGCAGCAAUGUCAGUGCGGAAUCACACAACUGUGUCUGAGGUCUGGGUCAUCUGACAAGUGUAAAAUAAUCAGCAUUCAUACAUUCCUUCUCCGGUUGAUUAUAUCUUCCAAAAUAACUGUGCAACAAGGUUCCAUAUUUGGCUUGAUGGAAGUUUCUGGAAUGUGUCUGGAGUAAGAAUUUCUCUUCCCAUGGAUCAGGUUGGUACCUCCGUAGGUGUAAGCCAGCAUAGUUCU
RNAcentral lists this long non-coding RNA (381 nucleotides) under Dromaius novaehollandiae (emu). RNAcentral's name for it is "lncRNA (ENSDNVG00000016774.1)". Lineage: Eukaryota; Metazoa; Chordata; Aves; Casuariiformes; Dromaiidae. The record is from RNAcentral.